This is a small nucleolar RNA of Apodemus sylvaticus (European woodmouse), 147 nucleotides long. RefSeq annotates it as small nucleolar RNA SNORA48. The record is from RefSeq and is a predicted model, not a curated record. Lineage: Eukaryota; Metazoa; Chordata; Mammalia; Rodentia; Muridae. The transcript has a single exon.
AACCUCUGGCAAGGGGCAAAGGGACAGCUUGGUGGUGGUGGUGGUGUUCUUCCGUCAGGGGCAGAGCAGACGCCAUGGCAGUCCUUGGUUCAUACUAGCUUGAUGUCUGGCUCGAUGCCUAAGCUGUUUUAUGCCCGGGACAUAUAA